This 74-nucleotide transfer RNA is filed under the name archaeon. RNAcentral's name for it is "tRNA-Ala". It matches the Rfam family "tRNA". From Rfam's summary of the family: Transfer RNA (tRNA) molecules are approximately 80 nucleotides in length. Their secondary structure includes four short double-helical elements and three loops (D, anti-codon, and T loops). RNAcentral also lists the same sequence under 1 other name. The record is from RNAcentral.
GGGCCGGUAGCACAACCUGGUAAUGCGCUCGGUUCGCAUCCGAGAGAAUUCGGGUUCAAAUCCCGACCGGUCCA